This 70-nucleotide transfer RNA is filed under the name Dipodomys ordii (Ord's kangaroo rat). It matches the Rfam family "tRNA". From Rfam's summary of the family: Transfer RNA (tRNA) molecules are approximately 80 nucleotides in length. Their secondary structure includes four short double-helical elements and three loops (D, anti-codon, and T loops). Further hydrogen bonds mediate the characteristic L-shaped molecular structure. tRNAs have two regions of fundamental functional importance: the anti-codon, which is responsible for specific mRNA codon recognition, and the 3' end, to which the tRNAs corresponding amino acid is attached (by aminoacyl-tRNA synthetases). tRNAs cope with the degeneracy of the genetic code in two manners: having more than one tRNA (with a specific anti-codon) for a particular amino acid; and 'wobble' base-pairing, i.e. permitting non-standard base-pairing at the 3rd anti-codon position. Lineage: Eukaryota; Metazoa; Chordata; Mammalia; Rodentia; Heteromyidae. The record is from Rfam by way of RNAcentral.
GUAUGUAGCUUAGUGAUACAGCAUGUGCCUUGCAUGCUUGAAGUCCUAGAUUCAAGCUCUAGCAUUAACA